GUUGAUGAUGAUAACCCGAAUAGGAAGUGCCGUCAGAUGCGAGAACUGACGAUAACCUCUUCGUUUGUCUGACA
Molecule: small nucleolar RNA, 74 nt
Organism: Apus apus (common swift)
Lineage: Eukaryota; Metazoa; Chordata; Aves; Apodiformes; Apodidae
Product: small nucleolar RNA SNORD49
Exons: 1
Source: RefSeq, a predicted model, not a curated record